RNAcentral lists this ribosomal RNA (493 nucleotides) under uncultured bacterium. Its description in RNAcentral is "bacterial SSU rRNA". It matches the Rfam family "Bacterial small subunit ribosomal RNA", at positions 28 to 536 of the family's 1533-position model. The record is from RNAcentral.
GACGAACGCUGGCGGCGUGCUUAACACAUGCAAGUCGAGCGGAAAGGCCCACUUGUGGGUACUCGAGCGGCGAACGGGUGAGUAUCACGUGAGUAAUCUGCCCUUCACUUCGGGAUAGCCUUGGGAAACUGAGAUUAAUACCGGAUAUGAUUUCUGCCUGCAUGGGUGGGGGUUGAAAGUUUUUUCGGUGGAGGAUGUGCUCGCGGCCUAUCAGCUUGAUGGUGGGGUAAUGGCCUACCAUGGCUUUGACGGGUAGCCGGCCUGAGAGGGUGUUCGGCCACACUGGGACUGAGACACGGCCCAGACUCCUACGGGAGGCAGCAGUGGGGAAUAUUGGACAAUGGGCGGAAGCCUGAUCCAGCAACGCCGCGUGAGGGAUGACGGCCUUCGGUUGUAAACCGUCUUUCUAGUAGGGACGAAGUGUAGACGGUACCGUACAGAAGAAGACACCGGCCAACUACGUAGCCAGCAGCCGCGGUAAGUGAGUAGUACA